UAAGGAAUACUGGUCAAUGGACGCAAGUCUGAACCAGCCAUGCCGCGUGAAGGAUGAAGGUCCUCUGGAUUGUAAACUUCUUUUAUCUGGGACGAAAACGGGAUUUUUAUCUCAAUUGACGGUACCAGAGGAAUAAGCACCGGCUAACUCCGUGCCAGCAGCCGCGGUAAUACGGAGGGUGCGAGCGUUAUCCGGAUUUACUGGGUUUAAAGGGUGCGUAGGUGGGCUUAUAAGUCAGUGGUGGAAUCUCCGAGCUUAACUUGGAAACUGCCGUUGAUACUAUAGGUCUUGAAUUAUCUGGAGGUCAGCGGAAUAUGUCAUGUAGCGGUGAAAUGCUUAGAUAUGACAUAGAACACCAAUUGCGAAGGCAGCUUACUACAUAUAAAUUGACGCUGAGGCACGAAAGCGUGGGGAUCAAACA
RNAcentral lists this ribosomal RNA (421 nucleotides) under uncultured bacterium. Its description in RNAcentral is "bacterial SSU rRNA". It matches the Rfam family "Bacterial small subunit ribosomal RNA", at positions 355 to 774 of the family's 1533-position model. The record is from RNAcentral.